RNAcentral lists this ribosomal RNA (793 nucleotides) under Bacillus pumilus. RNAcentral's name for it is "bacterial SSU rRNA". It matches the Rfam family "Bacterial small subunit ribosomal RNA", at positions 79 to 856 of the family's 1533-position model. The record is from RNAcentral. Lineage: Bacteria; Bacillati; Bacillota; Bacilli; Caryophanales; Bacillaceae.
CUUGCUCCCGGAUGUUAGCGGCGGACGGGUGAGUAACACGUGGGUAACCUGCCUGUAAGACUGGGAUAACUCCGGGAAACCGGAGCUAAUACCGGAUAGUUCCUUGAACCGCAUGGUUCAAGGAUGAAAGACGGUUUCGGCUGUCACUUACAGAUGGACCCGCGGCGCAUUAGCUAGUUGGUGGGGUAAUGGCUCACCAAGGCGACGAUGCGUAGCCGACCUGAGAGGGUGAUCGGCCACACUGGGACUGAGACACGGCCCAGACUCCUACGGGAGGCAGCAGUAGGGAAUCUUCCGCAAUGGACGAAAGUCUGACGGAGCAACGCCGCGUGAGUGAUGAAGGUUUUCGGAUCGUAAAGCUCUGUUGUUAGGGAAGAACAAGUGCGAGAGUAACUGCUCGCACCUUGACGGUACCUAACCAGAAAGCCACGGCUAACUACGUGCCAGCAGCCGCGGUAAUACGUAGGUGGCAAGCGUUGUCCGGAAUUAUUGGGCGUAAAGGGCUCGCAGGCGGUUUCUUAAGUCUGAUGUGAAAGCCCCCGGCUCAACCGGGGAGGGUCAUUGGAAACUGGGAAACUUGAGUGCAGAAGAGGAGAGUGGAAUUCCACGUGUAGCGGUGAAAUGCGUAGAGAUGUGGAGGAACACCAGUGGCGAAGGCGACUCUCUGGUCUGUAACUGACGCUGAGGAGCGAAAGCGUGGGGAGCGAACAGGAUUAGAUACCCUGGUAGUCCACGCCGUAAACGAUGAGUGCUAAGUGUUAGGGGGUUUCCGCCCCUUAGUGCUGCAGCUAAC